UACGUAGGGUGCGAGCGUUGCCCGGAUUUAUUGGGCGUAAAGGGCGCGUAGGCGGUCACGCACGUCCGUUGUGAAAUCGCUCGGCUCAACUGGGCGGGGUCAGCGGAUACGGCGUGGCUGGAGCAAGCUAGGGGGCAAUGGAAUUCCCGGUGUAGUGGUGGAAUGCGUAGAUAUCGGGAGGAACACCAGUGGCGAAGGCGGUUGCCUGGAGCUUUGCUGACGCUGAUGCGCGAAAGCGUGGGGAGCGAUCCGG
Molecule: ribosomal RNA, 253 nt
Filed under: uncultured bacterium
Lineage: Bacteria
Description: partial 16S ribosomal RNA
Rfam family: Bacterial small subunit ribosomal RNA
Source: RNAcentral